CAGAAAUAAGGUUGGAGUAAAAAACUAAAAACUGUGGAAAGACAUCUCAUGCAUGAGAUUAACCAUCGGAGUAUGAACUGAAGGAUAAAUGUUGUCAUUGUGUUAAGAAAAAAGAAUCAGCACGAGCCUCAAGCAGUCAAGAAAUGUAAUCUUUGAUUUUUUUUAUGUUUUUGUGUUAGAAUAAGAAAUGGUGUACGACAGGCCUAAAGCCUCCAACAGGUCACAGGAACACAAUAUCGCACAAGAAAACACACGAGCACAUGUGCUUUGGCGGCUGGAAUGACUUAGCCUUUUCUGGUUCUCUUCUACUAAUAUAGCCAAUGCGAGCUAUGAACCAGGCUGUGCUAGCCGAUAAUAAAUGCAGAAUAUUACCCAACUAAUCAGCCUAUUACUUCACAUUACUCUAUGAUGAAACUGAGCUGAAGUAAAUGAUAUGAACCUAGACACUAGCAUGCACCUAGGAACAGGAUUAUUUCCAACAUUCUCCCUAAAAUUGCUAUGUUUUGACUUGGAGUUGAUGCGGACCUUUCCAAUCCUAUCAAGAAGCUCAAGGGAUCUGACUCGCCCGAGUGCUUUCGUUUUAAUGUGAGCGAGCUGGCCCUUAGUGCCAACAAAAUCAGCAAUAAUCUUCUCAUCAUCCAAGCACUCCCUGAUGAAGUGGUACUGUGGUAGCGCAUAUUGAUGCGUUCGCUAUGCUCAUGGAAGAUGGGAUUCUUCAGCGCUAAGUCUGACUUGUCAACAACCUCGAGCUCGACAGUGCUGGUGCCCCUUCCCUUGAAGUCGCCAAGACCGCUUGUGUGGCUGCUGUUGCGGCAGCGACAUACUCUGCCUCGUAGGACGAGUGCCACAGCCUUCUGCUUAAGAGCAUGCCAAUACACCCAGCUAUUGUCGUAGAAGAAUAGGCCACCAGAUGUACUCUUCCUUGUGUCAACAUAGCCAGUAAGGUUGUUAUCACUGUACCCGAGUCGCAUCUCCCUUGUCAUCCCAUAGUAGCAACGGAGACUUAGUCCCACCAACAUAGCACAGGAUCCACUUCACUCUUACCAUGUGUUCCUCCAUAGGCUGCUCCAUGAAGUGAUUCACAUACCCCACGCUGAAUGUGAGGUACGGUCACGUGUGGACAAGGUAUCGAAGGGUUCCAAUGAUCCUACGUUACAGAGUGAUGUCCACCUCCGCUAUUGUUCUGUCACGGCUCACCUUGAGCCGCUACUCCAUGAGGGUGUGCGCAGUAUUGCAGUCUUGCAUCCCUGCCAUCUCCAGUAUGUGCUUGGCAUAGUGAGUUUGGCACAGAGUGAUGCCGUUGCUGCUUUGCUGUACCUCGAUUCCAAGGUAGAAGGAGAGCAAUCCCAAGUCACUCAUCCUAAACCUUGCCUUCAUUUCUGCCUUGAAGCGGUUGAUCUCCACCGCAGUCGGUCUAGUAAUGAUCAAAUCAUCCACAUACACCCCAAGGUGGAGCAAGUCACCAUGGGUUCACCGGUACAUUUCCAGCUUGUGCAGGCUCUGCUCGAACCCAAGAGCUCGUAGUGGCGUGUGCAGCUUCUCGUUCCAAGCUCACGACAACCCAUAAAACACCUUCUGCACGCACAACAGCUUGUGCUCAGACCAAGCGAUGGUGAAGCCCGGUGGCUGCGGGACAUAAACUUCCCCCCAAUUCGCCGUUGAGGAAUGCCAACUUCACAUCCAUGUGAUGCACCGGCCAACUUUCUUGUGCAGCCAUAGCUAGCAGCAGUUGCACGGACUCAAGGCAAACCACACACGUGAACACCUCGUUAAAGUCGAUGUCCAGCUACUGCACAUAGCCCUUGGCGAUGAGGCAAGCUCUGUGCUUGAUAACAGCUCCAGUCUCAUUCUUCUUGAUCUAUAAGACCCACUUCAGCCCGAUGGCGAUGCCCAUGAGGAAGUUCCACCGGCCACCAUGUGUCGUUCUGCUUGAUGAAGUCCAUCUCCUCAAACAAGGCCACCUGCCAUGUUGGGUCGUGCUCUGCUUCAGCAAAGGAGCGAGGUUCACCCUCCUCGCUGGCCAAUAGCAGCCCCUCACCAUCGCCGACGUGAUUGGUAAGGCUAGGCCAUCUACCAACAGCAAGAAGUAGCGGCGCUCGCCGGAUGCCGCCGGCAACAAGUCACAGGAACACAAUAUCACACAAGAACACAGGAGGUCACGAGCACAAGUGUCUUGGUAGCCAGAAUGACUUAGCUUGUUCUAGUUUUCUCUUCUACUAACAUAGCCAAUGUGAGCUACAAAUCAGGUUGCGGUAGCCCCUAAUAAAUGAAUAAUAUUGCCCAACUAAUCAGCCUAUUACUUAUUAUCCAUGCUAAAAUUUAGCCAAAGUAAAUGCAAUGAACCUAGACACUAGCAUGCACCUAGACAUGUUUCCAACAGUGCCAAACAUGUUUCCACCAGAGUAAUGUAGUGCAAUCAGUCAUACCACAAAGUAAGAUUCAUCCUGAGAAUCAAUCGACUCUAUGUAUGGUGCCAUCUCCCACCCUGUAUUACCAAAGUAGUUACACAUGGUGAUAAGAAAAUAUAUACUAAAAAUCCUGUUAAAUACAUAGCAUGGGAAAAUACUGUAUAAGUUAAAAAAAAUGCAUCCUCUCCGAAAAAAGACAAGGUCUAUAGUUUGAAUGGUCUUGUCAAUAAAUAUUAGGCUUAUUAAACUCCCUAUGAAAAAGGUGUGUUGUCUCCUACAUACAACUAAUAAACAUUAAUCAAUCACUUUCCAUCCUCGUGCAUGCAUUCAACAUUGUAAGAGACACUAAUUAGGGUAGAUAGUCCAGUAAUCUUUUAUGCCUUCUUGGUUCAUGUGCUAAGAUGAGAUUUAUUUAUACUUGUCUGAGGGAAUAUGCAGUAUUAGUUAAAAAGAAAUAGUCCAGAUCAUGUCAAACUUUGUUCAAGUGCUAAGGUUGUCCUCACCCGAGAGCCUAUCACAUCGUCUAUAUUUUAAAAUCCACUUUACCUGAAGUGCCAAAACAGUGUUUUGCACACCUAUUUUAGACAUACUGGUGAUGACAGCUUAAGAUAAGAUCUAAUGUAUACCUUAGAGUUUAGGCUGAGAGAGUAUGCAGUAUUAAGUAAACAAAUGGCCCGCAUGGACACAUACAAAUAAAAACUGAAAUGGUAUGUCAAAGUCAAACCAUAACAUAGCUUGAUUUUCCAUGCCAUCUACUAAACAUUUUUUCAUUUGGACUUCUAUUCGCAAAAGAAACAUAAAAGUUUGUCAGCCUUAGUUCAGAAGAAGUGACAAUGCCUUCGCAUGAUCAGAAUAAACUAAAUGCUAUCACUAAACAAACUACUUUACUCUCCAUGCAUAUGUGAAAAACAACUAAACCAGAACUCGCAUUUAAAAAAAAAAAUAGAAAGAAUGCCAAUUGAAGCCAUCUUUGUCGCCUAGAACUCUAUUUGCAAAUAAACUUCUUUGCAUGCUUAAAACAGGAGCACGAAAUUGCAAGUUCCCACAAGGAAUGAGAACAGACAUACCAGACAUUUCAUCAACACGACUCCUCCGGCUCACAUACAAGCAUUGUGCAAGUACAGCAGCCUGCUGUAUAGCCGAUAGUGAUAUUUUUGCACUGGGGUUCGUGGCGUCUUCACUGGCAGAAUUACUCCCAUCUUGCACCAGUCUGGGCAUUCUUAGUAUGUCACAGAAUUCAUCGUCUUCAACAGGAACGAAGCUCCUUGCAUUUUUCAAAGCUGCAUUGUCAUUCUGAGCUACUGUGGGUUCUGUCACUUGUCCUUCAUCAGGGCCUGACUUAUUGGUCUUCGCAACAAGCACCAUUUGAGACUUCGCAUCCACCUAUAACAAUAGUUGGCUCGCUUCAUUUUUCAAGAACAGAUGUUCUCUCUUUACAUAAUAGAAAGGUCAAACGCUGUUACUCCUCCAUUUUGUCAUGUGAGCACAAUGGCAUAGGCCUUGUCAAUUCACUAAGUGUGUCUAUUUCAGGAAACGGAUGGUGUAGUUAUUCAAAUAUGUCUUUUCUCUACUGUACUUCACUGCUGUUGCAGUAUGCCACUUAAGUAUAUGUAGUAAAAUGCAAUUAAUAUUUGUCCAACUUAGAACCAUCUUAGCUUGUGUGCACAGUAAGCUUGAAUUUGGUGAAAAAACUAAAGGUAUUCCCUCCAUCCCAAAUUUUUUAGAACGUCACAAAAGACAUGCGAGUCAUUUCAUUAAGAAGAUAGAUAAAAAAGAACGAGGUGACAGAAGAGUCAGCCCCGUGUACAAGGCUGGUUAGGCCAUAGGCAACCACUAACAGCUCAGCCUAACCCCCGGAGAUGAGUUGGCGGGUGAGAAGCUCCUGAAAACCGGAGGCUCCCGCCAUACUCCAAAGAGUACACUCAUUCUCCACUUUUUGUAGGACAGAUUGAACAACAGACCUUUUAUCUUCAAACACACAAGCAUUCCGAUGCUUCCAAAUCUCCCAGGUGAUCAACAUGAUGGCGUUUUGGCUUUUCUAGUUACAUGUGUGUGUGUGUGUGUUUUAAAUACGAGUAAAAGCAAUGUAUCUAGAAAAGACAAAACAUCUUACAAUUUGAAACGGUGGGAGCAUGUUUUGUUUAGUGUGUUUUGUGAAACAAAAUGAUGUAUCUAUAUCAAUCAAACUCAAAGAAGAUGGUGUACAAAACAUGAAGAAAAAAAUCAGAGUACAGUAUAAUCCACCUGGUAUAUUGUUCGGAAACCAAGGAUCCCUGUAAGGGAAAGGUGCAGACCACAUGCUUCUUGUGCGCUAUUGAGAUGCAACCUACCCAAACAUCCAGACAAGACCAUAAGUAUUUGUUCAUAAAUGGCUAUCAGUUUUCCAAUCCUACGUAGUUUGAAUACGUAUUGCCUGAAUGCCUAAGGAUAUGUUUAUGGUUGCUGACUUGCUGUGCCAUGUUGUGCUGCACUGCACAGGUUACCCAAGCUUACUAUAAUUUUCAGUUACAGAUCCUAAAAUGAUGCUUCCAAUCAAUGGCAGAAGAUAGUUGAAGGCCAAACGGGGCCAUGCCUGCCCACACAUCCAACCAGAAAAAAAAUGGAGAUUUCUUUAAAAUUGUAGUCUUUAAAUUUGAUGAUAUGUGCAGAUUACAAGUUUACAACUACUGGCCCCUCCCAGAAUCUACUGGAACUUCCUUCGGUACUCUUUCAAAGUUCCAACAACUGCAUGAGAAUAAGUUAGAAACAAACAACCAAUCACAGUGACAAGAGGAGCCUAAGAUGUUAUAAUUCUGAGAAACGGUUUACAAUAAGAGAACAUAUCAAGUGCAACCGUACCUAUUGGUGCAACCGUGCGACCAAGGCACAAAGAUAAAAAUGGGAGGGCCUUCCUAAAAAUAUUCUCUUUCAAAACAACACUCCCACAUCCCCCUAAAUAUUUUUAAAAAUGUCAUCUCACCUCAAUCCUUGUGUCUUAGUUGCACGGUUGCACCAAUAGGAAUGGUUGCACCUGAUAUGUUCCCUUACAAAAAUAUAUACAUCAUUUAUUUUCUAAUGUUUACUUUUGGCAAUCCUAAGAAAUAGUGUUCAUGUAACUUUAGUAAUGUGGCCUUGUUCUCUUACAAGCAAGCAAAGAACUAAUAUUCUGAGGAAAUUUAAUCCUCUCAAACUAAGAGUGAAAAAGAGAUCUGAGGAAUUUAAAGCUCUCAAACUGAGAGUGACAAACAAACCUUGAAGCAUCAACCCGACCAUAUUUGUAUUCCACGAUUCCAGCCUCUAAGAAAGCAGCUGAAACAAAAUAAGAACCUUCUCCAUCAGACAGUAAACAAUCCCAGUAGGUAGAAACCUUUUCCAGUUCACCAAAAUGAUCCAACAUCUUAUUCUUGUACACUUGCACUUGAUCAAACAGAGACGAUGAUAACUCAUCCAAGAUGUUCUGCUGCAACAUUGAUAUUCUAAACAACCACCAUGACACGCUCCAGCAAUCAGAGAGAUCCAGACUCUGUACGCUGGUAAACAAAAGCCUUGCAAAUACAAUGAACUGCAAAAAAAUAAGAUAACAACUCGAAAUACUGUAAAUACAGAACCAGGAAGACAUUUUGUGUCUGCUGAAUUUGGCAAUGAACAAACAAAAUCAGAUGCUUUGCCACCAUUUGUGGUACUAAAAGGCUCAGCUCAAUACAAACCAAAGCUUUUUAUCACGGAAAUUGGUUUGACUUAAACACAAGUACAGCCAUUUGCAAUACUAGACACCAAUAGAAGAUGAGUUAUGGUGUAUGGAACUAUGGGCACAAGCUAAUGGCCCCUCUAUAAAUUAAAUAUGUUAAAAACAUAAUAAAAAACUGUAUGAUGUACUUCACAAUUUAUACAAUGUAUUAUUAUGGGCAAUUCGGGCUGCAGGGUUUGGCCCCCCAACCAACGGAUAUUAAUUUUAUGGAGUGGUGGCAUCAAACAAAUGAAGCUAUUCAGGGGUCCUUCAGAGAUGGCCUAAACUCCCUCAUUAUGCUGGGCGCUUGGAUUUUGUGGAAUCUCCGGAACAGAUGCAUCUUUGAUGGCCUUUCCCCUAAUGUUGCUAAUUUCCUAAUCCAUGUGGGGGAUGAGCGCCGUCUGUGGGAGACUGCCGGGGCCAAGGGGUUGACAUCCCUUGUUGCCUCCCUAUCUCAUGUAGCCUAGAGUUUUUAUAGAUGAGUCAGUCUAUGCUAGUUUCGUUCAGGCCGCCGUAAGGCGUCAGUUGUACCCCGGUCUAUUUUAGACCUUGUUUAUUUCUUCCUUUAAUAUAAUGAUACGCAGCUCUCCUGCGUGUUCGAGAAAAAAAAAUAGAAUGUAUUAUUACACUAAUAAUGUAAAGCAGUUAGAAUGAUCGGCACUCCAUAUCUAGGAUUCAAUUAUGUUUGGUACUUUGGUGGAGGCAUUUCUUGUUGUAGAUGAAAUGAAUUUGUGAUUGUUCAUAAAGAAAUAUCUAAGCAAGUAAGUAUCAACAUAUGGCAUAGGGGUACCAAGAGUAGCAGAGAAAAUAGCAAGGACAACAGGGAGCAAGUCUUGUCAUUGUAGAGUAUGUCUACGAAAUCAUGACAUCAAUGCCUAAAGCAUAGAGAUUUUUAUAGAGGUUUGGGCCACGGGGUGUGUAAUACCCUAUAUCCUCUGGCUAAUCAUCGAUUGAUGAAUCCAGGUCACAAAGAUUACCAGCCCCAACACCAGUGAGCUCCAAGACCUCCUAGAUAUGGAGUGUGUUGUGGUAAGCUAGACUACCACCAACUUUUGCUACUUUCACUGGAUCAAAUUGAUCUCCCUUGGCUAGUGUUGGGUGGAAGUCUCAACGGAAUCCCUUUUAAUGCUGCUCUACCUCUCCCUUCUGUAGCCCAAGGGAAUGGUUGAUCUUACAUGUAUAUUCUACUACAGGCCCUACCUAUCAUCAGGCAAACUGCUCCAGUCCUGUCACAUCCUUGCAUAAUUGCAGGUCCUUUGCCUUGUAAUCAUGCAUUAUGUGUCGGGCAUGCGUCGGUGUAAUUGUACUUGUUGAGGUGACCUACCGGGGGCCCUCCUCACUCUGCCUUAAUGGAGCUGAUACAACGUGAUAGAAGCCUAGUAUGGUUCCGAGUACCAUUUAUUACAUGAAAGUACUUUCAUACUACCUAGUCAUCGCUUUUUACCAUUCCUAGUAACUGACAUAAUUGCCUAACCAGAUAUGGUCUUAAACAUGAGGUCAUGCAUAUACUCUAUAGUGGCAUUGGAUACACAUGUACCCCUUGAGAGCGUGUCAAGGUGAAAGUGUGUCUGUAAGGUCAUCCACUGCAUUUUAAUGUGGUACUCAGGCUCCCGCAAUCACCCCUUCCUAUGGUGAUCACCAUACCGAUCGCAGAGGCAGGUAUGAUAUCUGCAUCUACGGACACCCGGGCCACCUGGCUUAAUAUGAUUGGUAGCCAGUGUAGCCCUCUGUACUUGAUUGUGUUUUAUGGUACACUUCACGUGCGCACGCGUGGCUAUGGGAUCAAUGCAUGUACUAUGUAGUGAUUUCAAGUGUCGUACAGCCUAAGUCAUGCCUAAGUCAUGUCAACACACUUAGUCAGGCAUGUAAUGUCGUCCAUCACACAUUUAAUGUGUUGUACCCGAGACUUAUAUACUAAGCUUUUGCUACCGAUUUAUCCUCAUGUGUAGGGUCCAUUCCAGGGGCAUACUAUCCCUAGUGGGCCUAACACAUACUUCUAUCAUAGGAUAGGAUUACACUUAGCUGCCCUGAGCUCUUAACUCCUUCGAGGCCCCAGAGGACAUAGAUCCAAGCCGCCCUCAAAGUAUGAGGUCAGGAACUCUAGGAGCCUUGGAGCCAAAGGAGGGCCUUGAGCAGCUAAGUGUCGUAGUCCCUGGAGGAUGUACUACCUUGUGCACUUGUUUCCUUGUUGCCCUAAGAUGCGAGGGGCCCUGAAGAUGCUCUGAAGACUUUCAUAACUGCCCUCAGACUAAUGGGUGCCCUGGGGUAUGGGAUGCCCUGAGGACUUCCAUAACUGCCCUAGGGCACGAAGGCGCGAACUUAGUCUCUGAUCAAUGUCCCAUGGCACAAGGUGCUUUAGGGUCUUUGAAUAUUCUACCCCUAGAUGUCCCGAUGCACUAGGGGCUUCGAGCCUCACAACACGUAGUAUGCUAGAAAGGCCAACGCGCCAUCCAACAGUUGGGUUAUUCCAUCUGUAUGCCUCUGUAUAAAGUCACUUAGACUCAAGCCCCUCCCUUGGCCAAGGCUAGAGAAGGUCCCUAGGUCUCGAGGCCCCGGGAGCAGUGGUCCCUAAAGUUAGUCUCUCGAGUCGGGUUCUCUGUGUGCGUCUUGACGACAGCCGGGUAAAUGGCCUUCCCUAAACGCUGACAAGCGUCAUGAUCUUUAAAAACGUUGUGUUGUCGCAAUCUCUCAUUUUAAACUUUGAUAAUGUUAUGUGCCAGGCAAACUUGGACUGAGGCUAUCUCCGGCAUCUUACUCAUCCUCAUCUCUCAUUUCAAACUCCAUUUUGUAAACAGUGCAGUGUACAAUGCAAAACAGUACAAAACGGUGUUUUGCACGGUCAAAUGCACGAUCUGCUGGCCAUAGCCUGACCAGGCUAUAGUCUAGUACAGUUCACAUGACUAACCUUUAGCACCCAAGAUGAUGUAACAUAUGCUCAAGAAAAAUGUUAUAUGACAUCAACAUAAAGUCCAGCUACUAUAACUUUGCCAUUUCACAAAUUUCAAAACCCGCCAUCCAAGUCUUUCAUCAACAACAUGUUAUUCAAAAAACAUAGAUCAACUAAUUACGAAAAGGUCAAAGAAGAGGUGUGCAUGAAUUGGACCAAAAAUAACAUGAAAACAUCACUUUAACCAAUAUAUUAAAUUCCCAGACAUAAAUAGAGAAAAUAAAGAAGCCAACCCCAACAUACAUACCUGCAAGAGUGAAAAUUUCCCAUGAACAUGAGAGCCAAAAGAAGCUAAAUUGUCAGAAGCCCAUGCAUCCCAUGUGUCUCCAAGAUUACUAUAGCAUCUUUCAUCAAAAGAUGACAUUGAAAAAGGAAAAGUGGGAAACUUCCUUGGAGGCCUAAAAAUAAUUUUGAAGACAAAUAUAUAUAUCAAAAACUAGUACCUCCCUAAAAAAUCCAACAGGUUUAGGUUAACAUGAAAAGGUAAAUCAGAUUUGAUAGUCAUGUCAGUUGUAAUAAUAGAAGCCUGUAUUACAGCUAGAUAUGAAUCAGAGUAUCAAACAGAAUACAAUGUACUAUUUCAUCAUAUAAGAACACCAGUCACCAGCUCAUCCUUUCUUUUUUAUAAAUUGUUUUCCUAUGGUAUACAGACAAUUUGCUUUACAAAAGAAAGUAUUCUCAAAAACCAAAUCAAUUACAGCUCAAACAGUAUUACUAGACCAUGAAACUGCAGAUGUUCCCGUAACCAAAACAAUAGAGCACAUGUGCAGACCAUAUUCUGUUGCAUGCAUCUCCAGCAAGAAGCCACAAACAGUUCCUGAAAAAUGUAUGCCCUCUUUGACUCCAAAUGCAGGUCAUUUUAGGCUUUUGCAUAUGGGUCAAGAAAGUAGAUAAAAUGACCUCAGUGCCCUUAAUGCAUACUCCAUUGGGACAAAUGACUCAUUCAUUUGUGAGGAAAAAUAACAGUAAUAUUAAUAUUUAUUAGGCAGGAGCAAAGAGGGAACAAAAGGACAUGAGUUCUAGGACAACUUAUAUUUAUUGAAAAUUAAGUAGGUUAAAAUGACCUAAAUAUAGAAAAUGGAGAUAGUAUGUAAAUGUAACCACAUUGCAUUCCCUCACCAAGUCAACACAGUUGCCUGUUCCCUCAACUACAUCCAUCUGACUGACAUGUACAAGGAGUAUACUACAUAUUAGCAAUCAAGAGAAUUCCCAUUUUUGUUUCAUGUCAACAUUCAGGAACAAGCUAGAUAAUCUUAAUAUCUUACUUGGCAAACUGCAACGAUAUUCUACUUUGCCACAUUUUAGAACUAUGUGAAAUUAGCAAUUUUGAAAGUGCCUUUAAAACCUGUGAUCGAAUUUACAGAAUGUUAAUUCUAGACAUUAACUGGAACUAGCCCAUCACAUUAUGUUGGACCAGACCAAUGCUUAAAACUAUAUCCUCAGUCUAGUAGGCAAGCUGUCAUUGAUCAAAAGACCCCAGGAUAUUUAAAAUCUAAUGUUUCCACUAAGUUAUUUGCCAACUAAUCGCACACAGUCAGCCGAGCGUUCCCUAAUCAUACAGUAAAAGAUUGAAGAGAGACAGAACCCAGAAACUAACUCACCCAGUCACGUUCUGUUGCGUGAACGCGAGCAGCGCGGCCACUGCAGCGGAAAGCACAACUGCGCACCUGCAAUCGAACCCCUCUCCCGCCGCUGCCCCGUCCCCAUCGACCAGCAGGAACGCCCGAGCUGCGGCACCUAGGUCGGCGUAGAACUGCGCGGCUGAGCCAGGAGGCCUAGAGGGGGCGAAUGCCGGAAAGAAGUGCGGCGCGGCGGUGGCGAGCGCAGCCUCGUAGUCGCCGGCCUCAACGGCAGCGAUCGCAGAGGCCGCGGCGGGACCGAGCGGAUGCGCAGGGGGAGGGGAAGCGGGUGGGGGCGGGGAAGAGGGCAGCGAGGGGAGAGUGCAGCGGAGGAGGCGGAGCUCGGCCUCGCGGAGGAAGCCGGGGCUCCGGGUGGCGCAAGUCAUGUCGCUGGCGGCUGUGACUUGUGAGGGUCAGGAAGAAGAAUUGAGAAGACUGCGCCCCGCGCGGGUUAUGUCCAUUCACUCCAUUGGCACUGGGCAGCACCGAGGUUUAGGGCUUUGUCUGGAACAUGUGAUUUUUUCCCACGUUUUUUUAAAGGAACAAUUGGAUCUAUACCAUUAAAAGAUCCAAACUUUAGAUAUAUAACAUAGACCCCACAUGUCAUUGACUCAUGUAGAUCCAUAUGUAAGUGAGAUAGUAAUGGUAUGGAUUCAAAGUGGUGAUCUUUUAAUGGUAUGGAUCCAAAUUUCCCUUUUUUAAAUAAACAACUGAAUCACUGAUUCCUGUUAUAUAUAAUUCCUGUACAAUUUCUACAUUCUAAAGAAGGUCUUAGGAUUUAACUGGUUAAUUUUAGUUAGAUAUUAAUUAAAUGAGAUAUUUAUUUAAAUAUGAAUAUAUUUUUUGAAUUAUUAGUAUAUAUUAUUAAUAUAUUUUUUAUACAACACAAACGGACACGCGGGAGGAUUUCUAGCGGCAGGCGCCUAUUACUAUUAUUGUGUUGUUGUAAAAGAAAAUAAUAAACUGUCAUCGAAUUUGAGCACAUAUUAUACUAUUUUAAAAAAAUUGAUUGUCGUACUCUUAUCUUUAUAUAUUUUGAGGUGUUUAAUUUCUGGGACCAAAGUUUAGUACGUGUCACAUCAGAUAUUUCAGUAGCUAUUACGAGUAUUAAAUGUAAUUUAAUUAUAAAACUAAUUAUACAUCUUAAGAUUAAACGAUAAGAAAAAUUUAUUAAGCAUAAUUAACACAUGAUUGGUAUUUUAUUGUAACAUCACAUAAUCGAAUCACGAACUAAUUAGGUUUAAUAGAUUCAUCUUAUCAUUCAGUACUCAACUGUGUAAUUAGUUUUACUAUUAGACUAUAUUUAAUACUUAACUAGCAUCCAAUGUGAUAGGGACUAAAAGUUUAGAUAGGGAAACAAACGGGCCCUUUGUAGCAAUCAUUAUCGUAACUAGGUGAGCGCCCGUCCGUUGCAACGGGAACAUGUAAUACCGUUGAAGGAAGGGAGCAGAGGGGAGGGUGUAUCAGCUGGACAGGGAAGAAGAGCACGGAUCUGGGGACGAUGAUAGCGGCGACGACGUGCAAGGGAGAGUGCGGCGCGAGGGUCGGGGCAACGGACAUGAGCUACGAUGUUAGGCUGGUCAGCCAACAACCCACAUAUGCGAGAGGCAGAACAAUAUUAUAUGAAUAGUGAUUAAUAUGAUAAAAUACAUUGAUAUGCAAACUCCCUUUUUUGAGAAAUGAAACCGUAGCCAUGCAGAGAACAGUAUAUGGCCAUUGUGCUAGAAUUUUGGCCUGACUUAGCGGUUGGAAGACUCAAACCAGCCACAACAAAAGUUUUUAGUAAAAUGUUCAUGAGUAGCACCAACAGGACUUGUUUUACGGCCUAAGCCCAUGAGGAAGUUGUCUGGCUUGAUAUCACGAUGAAGAAACCCCCUCGUGUGCAUGUACUCUACCCUAGAUAUUUGUAUGACAACAACAGGAAGACAUUAACUUGGCGAAAACCCACCAAAAAUAUUCAACAAUUGAGAAAUUGGGCCAUCAAUUUUAUAGUUAUGCCGCCAUACAGGUAACAAAAGCUAAAAAACAAAAUGAUAUAUCUCGCAAGAGAAACUAACCAUCUGAUCAGCUAGCAUAAGUAUUGUUUUAAGAGAAAACUUUCUGUUGCAGUAGUUGCAAAUCAUUGAGGCUUGGACCAAGAAGAUCAAUGACCAUGACAUUGUACUCCCCAUCCACUCCAAACCAUUUCAAAUGAGGAAUUCCAGCUGAAGUUUAGAAGAAAAAAUAUUGAAUCAGUGAAAGCAUAUGAAACAAACAGCCUUGUAUUAUUACUUACUUCCCCCUUGGAGAAGCAUGUAUAGUUUUGACUCAUAAUGAAGCUGAGGAUGCCUUGAUUUUACAGAUUCCUGGUAAACAUGAGAUGACGAAAAACGGCCAGGUAGCAUGCCUUGAGGCUGAAAGGGGUACUACCAAGACUAAGACUGAAAGAUCAUAUUGCUUGAAAAUGGCUAACCUCAUUCUGUCUGAAAACGUAAUACUAUAUGUUUAGGCUAGAAAUCCAUUACAUAUAGAACAAUAUAAUCUAAAUUUUCCAUAUGCAUUUCUCUAAAUUUUUAUUUAAUGUCCAUCCUGCAAAUUGGGUUACCAUACUAAGUUGUUUCCAUUGUCUCAGGUGCUCUUAAUGAUGCUGUUGCUAAGAAAUAUGAUUUGGAAGCAUGGUUCCCUGCAUCAAAGACCUUUUCGAGAGUUAGUAUCCUGUUCAAACUGCAUUGACUUUCAAAUUGCUCUCUGCACCUUCACCCAGAGUACGCUAGAAUAUUACCAGUUACUGAAACAACAUUUCCCAUGUAUGAGACAAAGUAGUGGGUAUGGGAUGAUCGCGUUGUCCUCUAUGUAACUUGAAUAAUAAGGUAAAAUGAUAAAAUAUUCUUUGAACGAAAUGUUGCUGACAAAUAUCCAAAAAUAAGGUAGAUCCAAACAAAUUAAUGGCACUAAAGACUGAGGCACGAGAAAAAUGACGUCCAUAUUUGUGGCUCACCAAUUCACCCAUGAGAAUGCAAAAACAUAAUUCCAAUAUUACAUCUUUCACACUGCAAGCAAACUAAGAAUAAACAAUAUGAACAAGUAUUAUUCUUGUUGCCCAAUAAACAAUACAGUUAUCAAUGAAAACAUCAAAGCUCCAAGUCCUUGCUUUAUAUCCCUGUAUUCCCAUCCGCUUCUAUCUAGUAUUUUAAUGGGUACAAAAACCAAAACUGAGGCACACAUUUUUUUGCUAGUCUCAAAACAGAGAACCAAAUCUAUAUUUUUUGCUAUUAUGAAAACAAAUAACUGAAGCAUAUAUUUUCUGGUAUUCUCAAAACAAAGAACUUAACCACAUAUUUUCUACAUAGGGCUAGACAGUUGUGUGUUGAGGCCAAUAUGGCGACAGCCGACAUCCGAUAGGCAAAUGUAUCUAAUAACUUGUCACAAAAAUGGAAUUCGCAUCGUAAAAAGAAACUACUCGAGCAUUGAGAGUCCAGCAGGAAAAAACAGACAUGUAGUGUUAAACAUAGAAAAAUGGGUCAUCACUAAGAAAUAAUUUCCAAGUACUACUUUCCUGAAGAUAAACAGUAAAUGGAAUGAUGUGGUUGCCAGUUGCCAGACACUUCAUCCCAAAUUCCCAAUUUCAGAAGGUAAGGUAAAAAUUCUUCAGCAAUCCAAUCAAUAAUUCAGACUCAAGAGUCAGAGCAUAACUAAAACCUAUUAGCUAUUGCUAUGCAAACUUCAUUCAAAGAAAC
Molecule: long non-coding RNA, 14396 nt
Filed under: Zea mays
Lineage: Eukaryota; Viridiplantae; Streptophyta; Magnoliopsida; Poales; Poaceae
Description: long non-coding RNA (ZMAY_LNC001153)
Source: RNAcentral